Vespa crabro (European hornet) is the source of this 1769-nucleotide long non-coding RNA. RefSeq lists it as uncharacterized. The transcript has 2 exons. The record is from RefSeq and is a predicted model, not a curated record. NCBI's taxonomy places the organism in Eukaryota, Metazoa, Arthropoda, Insecta, Hymenoptera, Vespidae.
GGAGACUUUCGUCGUCUCGUUAAUUAUAGGUUAUUAAUAUAUUAUUUUUUAACGUAUAUUUUUAUUUUACAUAUCAAUCAAUUUCCCAAAAUGCGAUUUUUACGAAUAUAUGUUUGCAAGUUGUGGCAUUGUCUUUUUUAAAAGAUACACAUGGAAAUAAAAUCAGGAUUUUGGUUUCUCCUAUGGUAGAGAUACGACGUCAUACUUAUUUCACGAAUUUUUCAGCUUUAUUUUCACGAUAUCGAUACUUUUCUCGUACUUUAAUGAUAUUCUAAUUAAUAGUUCUUCGUUAAUUAGCCAUGUUCGAUUAUAUAGAUAUCUUUUUUUACAGACAAAUAUCAUUAAAUCCUACACGCAUAUAUAUUCGCAUACAAUUAAUUUUCUACUCUAAUAAUAUCGAUUUAAUAUUUUUUAGCUUUCCAAGUAGCGUACAAAUUAAGAAAACUACGUACUACGUUAGAAAUAAUAUUUGAAAUGCUAAUGUUCCUGUAUUCGCAUGUAAAUCUGUUUUUAAAUAAAUACAGCGAUGCUUUUAAUAGAGAGAAAGAGAGAGAGAGAGAGAGAGAGAGAGAGAGAGAGAAAGAUAGUAUUAAGAUAUAGAUAAUAGCUUGAAAAUUCUUUCACUAAUGUUUACAAAUUUCCAAUCUCUAGAAAGUAGAAAAACGCAAUGUAUGGUUUUUGUAUACAUAUUAUUAUGAAAAUUUAGAAAGUAAAUAUCUAUAUCGGCAAAAACAAAUGUAAACAAUCAAAGGACGAUUGGGAACUUUCCUGUUCGUUCUUAUUAAUGUGCUACGUAAUUAUCGUUCGCACAAGUAACUCUCCAGAAGUGUUUAGAACUUUUCUCACUUCGUUAAUUCCAGUCCACUUAACUUCUAAUUUAUAUUAUAUUAAAUUCGCAAAUUUAUAUAUUAAUUAUCAUAUGUGUUAAUUAUAUUUAUUAAUAUUUAUGGCUUUUAUCGUGAAACAGAUACAUACCGAUGUCUGUAUUUAGAACGUAUAACUUCAAGAAGGAUAUUACUAUCUAUCACAAAAGGAUUUACAUAUGAGAGAAAGAAAGAAAUGUAUAAAAAUUAUCGAAAGUAUUAAUUUAUAAGUUUAUACGUUUAGAAAGAGUCUCGAUGUGCACUGUGUCGGAGAAAAUUAAUUCGAUACAUUUUUUCGAAGAGUGAACAGAAGUAAGCUUCUCCGUACGAUCAUCAUAAAACGCAUUUCUUUUUGUUUGAAAUGAUUCAUAAAAUCUAUAUAUCAUUUACGUACACAAACAAACGGCUAUUUCAUGAAACAAACAUACCCCAUUGAACGUGAUAUGGAAAUCGAUAGUGUGGAUGCGAGUUUCUCUUUUGCCACUAAUUUCGAUGGGCGUCAUUAUAGAAAACUUUCUCUUCAUAAAAUAUAACAAAAACAACGUUUAUACCAACAGCGAGUCCAAGAGUAAUAAUUCUUAGCCAAUUUUAAUGAACAAGAUCUCAUUUUAAAGAUGAAGGUUUUUUAUGCGAGAAUAUAAUUUUUUCGAAUUUUUGAAAAAGCUUUAUUUUUGUGUGUCAAGCUAUUCUCGAAAAGCCAUCGUAUUUUUUUGGACGCGAUUGUAUUAUCAGAAAACAAAGCUUUUUUAAAAAAUUCGAUAAGGUCAUGUUCUCGCUUAUCUCUCUUAUAACUUCAUCUUUAAAAUGAGACUUCAAUCAUCAAAAUCGUUCAAGAAUUAUAGUUUUAUUUAUUGUCAUUAUAAAUCAAGAUCUAAUGAAAAUAUUUCAUUAAAAUAUUUCAUAAUA